Molecule: ribosomal RNA, 1677 nt
Filed under: Chrysaora pacifica
Lineage: Eukaryota; Metazoa; Cnidaria; Scyphozoa; Semaeostomeae; Pelagiidae
Description: 16S ribosomal RNA
Rfam family: Bacterial large subunit ribosomal RNA
Source: RNAcentral
UUGAGUAGUGGCGAACGAAAUUAGGUAUACAAAAGUAACAAAAGAAAAUAGGUAAAACUAUAUCUAAGUAUUAAAUAUUAAAAUCUAUAUAAAUAGUACUGUGAAGGAAAGAAUGUGAAUACUAGUAAUAUCCGACUAUUAAAUAGGAUACCUUUUGUAUAAUGAACCUGCAAGAAAAUUUUUGGCAAAUUUUAAUUCACUUAAAUGAUGUGAAAGUCAAAUUAUCCCGAAACUAAGUGAUUUACUCCUGAACAGUUUUAAGAACGAACCAUUAGCUGUUGCAAAAGCUUUGGGUGAUUUGGGAGUGGUAGUGAAAUACUAAUCGAACUUAGAAAUAGCUGGUUUUCUAUUAAAGUUCUAUAAGGAACAAAUACAAAAAAAUUUAAAUUUACUUACUAACAUAACAAAUUUAAAUAUUAUGUAUUAUUUAGGUUAUUGGUGAUAAGAUUAAUAACCAAAAGGGAAACAACCCUAUUUAGAAGCUUAAGUCAUCAAUAUAUUAAGUGUACAAUAAAGUUAAGUAAAAGCAUAAGGUAAAUUGGCUUGGAAACAGCCACUUUAUAAUUAAUACGUAACAGUAAACCUUCUAAACCUCUACUUUCACAAUAUAGGUGGCUAAAUAACCCUGAAGCUCUAAAUUGAUAAUAGAACGUUCUGUAAUAACAAAAUGGUAAUAUUACAGAAGCGACAAUGCAGGUAUGAAUAAUAAAUAACUUCAAGGUUUUAGAAAUUAAACAACUUUUAAAUCAAAGAUCAAUAUUGUAAGAAUUGACACAACAGGAAAUUUUACAAUAACAACUAUUGUACCAACUAACAACAGAGAAGUAACACAAGGGCAAAUUCUUAUUAAGGAACUCGGCAAAAUUAAUUAACAAUUAUCACUAGGAUCGACUGUUUACCAAAAACAUAGCCCCCCUACUACCUAUGGGGGGUGCAACCUGCUCAGUGGCUGCAAAUAAAUAAACUAAAUACAGUUAAAUAGCCGCGGUAACUCUGACCGUGAUAAAGUAGCAUAAUCACUUGUCACUUAAUUAGUGAAUGGAAUGAAUGGUUAAACGAAUCCUACACUGUCUCAAUAAGAAACCCUAUAAAAUUGGAAUUGUAGUGAAGAUACUACACUUAGAUUGCAAGACGAAAAGACCCUAUUGAGCUUUACUGGAUACUUAUAAUUACAAGCUAAGAUAGUAAAUAUAUAAAAAUAUUAAUUGUAAGUAAGACAGUUUGGUUGGGGCGACCACCUCUAAAAUAGUAACAGAGGAGAUCUAAAGGUAUUAUUUAUGAAUACAUGCUUAACUGAAAUAGCUAUAGCUUUAACAGAUAUAAAACAUAGGACAUAGUGACCCGUUAUAUUAAACUUUAUAUAUAACGACUACAGAAAAAGUUACCAUAGGGAUAACAGGGUAAUAUUUUCUAAGAGUUCUAAUCGACGAAAAUGUUUGCCACCUCGAUGUUGAAUUGUGAUAUCCUAGGGGUGCAGCAGCUCCUGAGGGUUGGUCUGUUCGACCAUUAAAAUCAUACAUGAUUUGAGUUCAUUCCGUCGUAAGACAGGAAGGUUUCUAUCUACAAUCUAUAAGGCUAAUAAUAUUUUUUAGUACGAAAGGAAUUAAAAUUAUUGUUUACAAAACAAAAUAAAUACAUGCUGAUUGCAUAUAAGCGUAUCAUUUUAGCCCAACAAUU